This 72-nucleotide transfer RNA is filed under the name Camelus ferus (Wild Bactrian camel). It matches the Rfam family "tRNA". Rfam says of the family: Transfer RNA (tRNA) molecules are approximately 80 nucleotides in length. Their secondary structure includes four short double-helical elements and three loops (D, anti-codon, and T loops). Lineage: Eukaryota; Metazoa; Chordata; Mammalia; Artiodactyla; Camelidae. The record is from Rfam by way of RNAcentral.
GAGGGUAUAGCUCAGUGACAGAACAGAUGCUUAGCAUGCACGAGGUCCUGGGUUCAAUCCCCAGUACCUCCA